Molecule: non-coding RNA, 29 nt
Filed under: Mus musculus (house mouse)
Lineage: Eukaryota; Metazoa; Chordata; Mammalia; Rodentia; Muridae
Source: RNAcentral
UGCAAGUCCAAUGGGCCUCUCUUUGCGGU